GUAGGUGGCAAGCGUUGUCCGGAAUUAUUGGGCGUAAAGCGCGCGCAGGCGGUUCUUUGAGUCUGAUGUGAAAGCCCACGGCUCAACCGUGGAGGGUCAUUGGAAACUGGAGAACUUGAGUACAGAAGAGGAAAGCGGAAUUCCACGUGUAGCGGUGAAAUGCGUAGAGAUGAGGAGGAACACCAGUGGCGAAGGCGGCUUUCUGGUCUGUAACUGACGCUGAGGCGCGAAAGCGUGGGGAGCAAACAGGAUUAGAUACCCUGGUAGUCCACGCCGUAAACGAUGAGUGCUAAGUGUUAGGGGGGUUUCCGCCCCCCUUAGUGCUGCAGCUAACGCAUUAAGCACUCCGCCUGGGAGUACGGCCGCAAGGCUG
Molecule: ribosomal RNA, 373 nt
Filed under: uncultured organism
Description: partial 16S ribosomal RNA
Rfam family: Bacterial small subunit ribosomal RNA
Source: RNAcentral